RNAcentral lists this ribosomal RNA (373 nucleotides) under uncultured bacterium. Its description in RNAcentral is "bacterial SSU rRNA". It matches the Rfam family "Bacterial small subunit ribosomal RNA", at positions 527 to 898 of the family's 1533-position model. The record is from RNAcentral.
GUAGGGGGCAAGCGUUGUCCGGAUUUAUUGGGCGUAAAGCGCGUGUAGGCGGCCACACAGGUCCGUUGUGAAAACUCGAGGCUCAACCUCGAGACGUCGAUGGAAACCGUGUGGCUAGAGUCCGGAAGAGGAGUGUGGAAUUCCCGGUGUAGCGGUGAAAUGCGCAGAUAUCGGGAAGAACACCCAUGGCGAAGGCAGCACUCUGGGACGGUACUGACGCUGAGACGCGAAAGCGUGGGGAGCGAACAGGAUUAGAUACCCUGGUAGUCCACGCCGUAAACGAUGGAUGCUAGGUGUGGGUGGUGUCGACUCCAUCCGUGCCGAAGCUAACGCAUUAAGCAUCCCGCCUGGGGAGUACGGCCGCAAGGCUAAA